UUCCGGUUGAUCCCGCCGGACCCCACUUGCUAUCGGGAUGAGACUAAGACAUGCUAGUCGUGCACCUCCAGGCCACGGUGGAGGCGCGGCGCACAGCUCAGUAACACGUGGCUAACCUACCCUUGGGACGGAAAUAACCCCGGGAAACUGGGGCUAAUUUCCGAUAGGUGAAGAUUCCUGGAAUGGAUCUUCGCCGAAAAGGCGUCUARACCAUGCUUCUAGGCGCUGCCCAAGGAUGGGGCCGCGGCCGAUCAGGUUGUUGGUGAGGUAACGGCUCACCAAGCCUAUAACCGGUACGGGCCGUGGGAGCGGUAGCCCGGAGAUGGGCACUGAGACAAGGGCCCAGGCCCUACGGGGCGCAGCAGUCGCGAAACCUCCGCAAUACGCGAAAGCGUGACGGGGUCAUCCCGAGUGCCGUCCGCUGAGGAUGGCUUUUCCCCAGUGUAGACAGCUGGGGGAAUAARGAGAGGGCAAGUCGGGUGUCAGCCGCCGCGGUAAUACCCGCUCUCCGAGUGGUGGGGACGCUUAUUGGGCCUAAAGCAUCCGUAGCCGGCUGGACAAGUCCCCUGUUAAAUCCAGCGAUUUAAUCGUUGGACUGCGGGGGAUACUGUCCGGCUAGGGGGCGGGAGAGGCCGACGGUAUUUCCGGGGUAGGGGUGAAAUCCUAUAAUCCCGGGAGGACCACCAGUGGCGAAGGCCGUCGGCUAGAACGCGCCCGACRGUGA
RNAcentral lists this ribosomal RNA (724 nucleotides) under uncultured archaeon. RNAcentral describes it as "bacterial SSU rRNA". It matches the Rfam family "Archaeal small subunit ribosomal RNA", at positions 1 to 700 of the family's 1478-position model. The record is from RNAcentral.